Vulpes vulpes (red fox) is the source of this 420-nucleotide long non-coding RNA. The record is from Ensembl. Lineage: Eukaryota; Metazoa; Chordata; Mammalia; Carnivora; Canidae.
AUACAACAUCCAUCAUCCAUGAUAUCUCUUAUAAGUCCAGGGAGCUGCUAGGCAGUGAGCAACCUAGCCUGAGAUCCCAAUAAGAGACUGGGGAAUUGAAUACAGCAUCCAGCAAGACAUGGUGGUGAUCCCUGGCUCUAAGUCUUCAUGAUUAAGUGACUCUUUUGCACAACACAAAGGUUUUUGUAAGAACAUGUCUGAAGACUCAAAGAAAUUCGAUUACAAAGUUGGAAUUGUGGUUCAAGAUAUUCAUUCCACUCUUUGACCUUCGUCUUACAGAUCAGCAAACCUACCGAGCUACAUUAUACUUUCUGACAAUAUACUGCAAGGCAAGUUUCAGUAAAACAACAUGAGGCUCUUGUAUCUCCAAAAUACAAACACAUGGAUGAUUCAAUGAAUAAACAAAAUAGAUUUUUUUCA